Gigantopelta aegis is the source of this 3380-nucleotide RNA transcript. It is a transcript of the gene named microsomal triglyceride transfer protein large subunit-like, with no coding region annotated. The transcript is spliced from 20 exons. The record is from RefSeq and is a predicted model, not a curated record. NCBI's taxonomy places the organism in Eukaryota, Metazoa, Mollusca, Gastropoda, Neomphalida, Peltospiridae.
UCCUUUGAUGUUAAACUGAACACGUAAAAUCUUUUGCAUUUAUUUAUUUAUUUAUUUAUUUUGAAAGAAUACCUUUGACAAACGACUUUUUUUUUUAUUUACAAAAAGUUGUAGGCUUGGUAUCUGCUUACGAUAAUCUAAAACAAUAUGCCUACUUAAUGCAGGAAAUCCUGAUCAAAGUGUCAAAGAUAAGAGUCAUUGCAGCAGAAUGGAUGUUCGCACUCUCAAUGGCGUUAAUCUGCUUAAUCAGAGGACAAGGUUUACACGUCUAUCGUUAUUGUUGGACUGCGAAUGCCGUACUGAACUUUGGUCAUGUGUUCUGAACUUCAACUUGGGAAACUAGGACGUUAAACUCUUGUUUCAGCAGCCAUGGGGAAACUGUCUUGUGCGCUCGCCGCUCUCGUGUCUUUGGCGUUUUUCUUUUACCACUGUUCGGCACUGAAGUACCAGACUGGAAAAACAUACAAAUAUAUAUACUCGUCAGCAGUGUUAUUCAAUGAUCUAAACAGUCGCAAGCUGACAAAAGCCCAGAAAGAUGCAGGUCUACACAUCACCCUUGAUGUUGAUGUAUCACCGAUAUACCAGGAUGCAGAUUCACAGCUGUUUAAACUCAAGCUGAACUCGGCCAAAGUUGUGAGUGCAUCAAGAGAAAACCAUGAAAAGCCAUUGGGAUCAUUACUGAAGCAUUCAAUUUACUUCCAACUUGAAAAAAAUUCUGUUGGUAAAAUAUUUAUUCCACAGUCUGAUCCGGCAUUUUGUUCAAACAUCAAGAAAGGAAUAAUUUCUUUGUUCCAAGUCCAAGAUGAACCAGGGGAAAGGACAGAGGUUGACAUAUCAGGUGAGUGCUCAGUUCAGUACACCAGACCUACAUCGUCAACAGUAACGAAGACAAAGACAGACUGUAAGAAUCUGGAGAUAGCAGGACAGUACUCCAAUACUAAUAAGGCUUUAGGUGUUAAUGUGCUGAGCAUCACAACACAGGAAUAUACCAUGGAAGAAGACAUUAUAAAGAGUGUCACGGGAACUAAUACAGUCAAAAGUUUUCUUGAUAUAAGAACAGAUCUUAAUGGAGAAGCCACAGUCAGCCAGCAUCUAACGUUUCAAAACAUUAUAGAUAAUUCAGCUACAAUAACAGCAGCAAAUAUGGAAGAGGCAAUAAAAUAUUUAGAAAAAGAAACAGGUAGCACAUUACUUCCAUCGUUACUGCCAAGUAUAUCCGAAGCUACACACUGCACAGAAAAUUGUGAGUCUCCACUGAAAUUAAUACCCAAACUGCAUGAUGAUUUGAAGAAAGAGCAGUUAGCUACUGUGCCUUCAGCUAAAGCAUUUGUAAAAAUGUUGAGAAGCUUCAGGAAUUCAGGAAAAGAUACCAUAGCUGAAGUACUGACCAGUAAAGAUUCAUAUUUAAUUGUACCUCAGUUGAUAGACAUUGCUGCUGCCACGCAGACAUCAGCCAGCCUGAAGGCUGCGAUGGACCUGCUUGUCUUUGACGAUGACUAUUCCACAGAACACCCAGAACGCUUCCUGCUGGCUGCAGCAUACUCUACACAUCCUGGAGAGUACCUUCUUAAAAACCUACUUUCAAUCCUGAAGACGAACAUACCAAGUGAAAGUCUUAAAGAAUCUCUGAUGCUUGCCACAAGUGCCAUUGUCCACACCUAUUGUCAAGUCAAGGACAAAUGUACAAACCAGGUUGUACAAGACUUGCGAAGUCUGCUGUUGACUGGACUCAGUAAGAGUGAAGAAGAAGUUUCUAUUGGAAUGUACUUGAGGGCACUGGGCAAUGCUGGACUGUCGGACACUGUGAUAACCAUCACUACGUAUGCAGAGCAUGCCAACACCAGCAUGUUGAACGAGAUGGCCAUCAAGGCGCUGCGAAGAAUGGAUAAGCAGUUCAUCACAGAAGAGGUGACAGAAGCAAUGCUGAGAAUAUUUCAUCAGAACGAAAAGACCUAUGAUACUAGUGUGAGAAUAGCAGCUCUGAAUGUCAUCUUACAAAACAAGCCAUCAGUAUCAACACUCAGAAAUAUUCUUCUCUCCAUCACGGACCAAACCAAUUAUGAGUUAGCAAUGUUUAUAAAACAAAACAUUGAAGAUGCAGCAAAACAGGAUCAGAAUCUCAGAUCAACAUUACAAAGCAUUUAUAAGGAAAGAAAAAUUAACAACUAUAAUGUUUUGGCUCAAAGAGGAAAAUCUAGUGUGUUCACCAACUUUUUGGCAACAACAAGUGAUAUGCAUGCCACAUACAGACUGAUAUUUGAAAACUCUAAUUCUGGAGUCAUGAAGCGAAGUGGCAUGGAUGUGAAUCUGCUUGGAAAUACGUGGACUCAACCAUUCCUUGAUUUCAGCAUAUUUGCUGAAGGCCUGGAGUCGAUGAUGAGUGACGACAGUUCUGAGGAGCCCGCCCCUGAUGACAAGACGCCAGAGGAGGAUAGUGGAGGAGUGGAGUCUAUGGCGGGGAUGUCCUUCAUGAUGAUGGACGUCGUCCUCAAACAGAUCGAGUUUUUCCGCGGCAUGUCCGGCUUGAUGUCCGCGGUGUGGAACGCUCCUUCAGAGUUAACAUCAGCUUUACAGGCCAAUAUUCUUCUCCAGGACCACUACCAAAGAGUCCAUCUUUCUAAUGGUCUCAUUAUGAAUGUUGCAGUCACAGGUGUUUUGUCAAUGGACUUGUCGGGAUAUGUCAGUAUCAGCCUGUGGAACAGAAACUGUGAUUCCCUUAUCAAAAAUAGUGGUGCUAUUUACAUUGAAGGCUUAAUGCAGCUGGAAUCAUCAGAGUUUACAGCUGGAGUAGAAUUCUCUUGUGAAGGUGCAUCGGCAAUCGACUUCAUGACAGUUGCUGAUUUUUACGAUAUGCCGGUCAAACUCUGUCUCCAAAUGAAGAGGCCAGAUUUUACAUUUAGACAAACAUUGAAAAAAUUUGAAAAGAUAAAAAAAUCUAAGAAGUAUAUAAAGAAAAUAACAAGGAUGUCAUCAUUUCCUGGCGAGUCAUAUUUACUGAACAAAGCCAACUCGGAAGAAUGUAAAAAAAUCAAUGAAGGCCAAGAAUAAGGAAUAGACAAAUAUAAAGCACAACACAAAGGUUUUGGAGCUGAAAAAAGGAUGUCACUAAACAACCGUACCAAAGAUUCCAGUAUUACUACAGCCCAUGACAAUCAGUAUUCCAUUCCUUGACCGUUUUAUGUUGGACAGAUGAAGUUUACUUGUACAUUAUGCUGUCUGAAUGUUUUGAUAUUCAUAUCAUGUGCAAUGCUGUAAUUUAUUUUAAUAUGAACAAAAAUGUUUUUGAACUAUAAAUAUGUUAAAAAUAGUCGCACAGUUUUAUUUUUUUGAGAUUAAAACUAGGUAAUCACAGAACAAUACAAUAAAGUAUCAAAAUGAAA